GUGUGUGUGUGUGUGUGUGUGUGUGUGUGAGAGAGAGAGAGAGAGAGAGCUCUCUCUCUCUCCCUCUCUCUCUCUCUCUCUCUCUCUCACACACACACACGCACCCCG
RNAcentral lists this microRNA precursor (108 nucleotides) under Podarcis lilfordi (Lilford's wall lizard). Lineage: Eukaryota; Metazoa; Chordata; Lepidosauria; Squamata; Lacertidae. The record is from RNAcentral.